UUGCAAAGCCUUUAAUUAGAAUGUUUGUAUUUUUUACAUCAUGCAUAACUUCACAUUUGUGAUUAAUUAGUAAUUAUUUCAAUACUUGUAAGCUCAUCUGCCUCAGAUUUAAUCAUAAUACAUGAAUUAAAUUAAUCAAAUUAAGGAACAGCAAUUUAGAAAGAAACACACUUUAAGAAAUCAAAAUUCUCAAUUCAGGCAGUCUGUUUCUAUCAUUUGGUAUUCUACUCCUUUAAAAAUUUCAUAUUGCCCAACAAAAAGUGGUUAUUUUUACUGUUUUUGGAGAUGACUGAACAGAUGAAGGCAUCAGAUGCCUUCAUCAGCUGGUAUUUUGCCUAAGAUCUAUUUAAGAUAACCUUUUCUUAUAUUUUUUACUUAAUAUUGGGCAUAAUCGUAUCAUUCAAGAUUAAGUCUGGGUUAUUUCUUUGAUAAGAACUGAAUGUGGCCGAGGUGGGUGGAUCACAAGGUCAGGAGAUCGAGACCAUCCUGGCUAACACGGUGAAACCCUGUCUCUACUAAAAAUACAAAAAAUUAGCCGGGCGUGGUGGCGGGCGCCCGUAAUCCCAGCUACUCGGGAGGCUGAGGCAGGAGAAUGGCGUGAACCCGGGAGGUGGAGGUUGCAGUGAGCUGAGAUCAUGCCACUGCACUCCAGCCUGGGCCACACAGUGAGACUGUCUUUAAAAAUAAAAUAAAAUAAAAUAAAAAUAAAAAUAAAA
This 716-nucleotide long non-coding RNA is filed under the name Homo sapiens (human). Its description in RNAcentral is "HSALNT0369023". The record is from RNAcentral. Lineage: Eukaryota; Metazoa; Chordata; Mammalia; Primates; Hominidae.